AGAUGUGAGGGCAAUCUGGCUGCAGCAUCUGUCACCCCAUUGAUUGCCUGGGUUAUUUAGCUGAUCUGUCUGGCUAGGAGGGUGUUCCCCUCCUUCCUCACUGCUCCAUAAACGUCACUCUAGAAGCUGGCUCACCUUCCCCUGCAUAGAGGAAGGCAGGUCUUCGGCCAAGGGUACACUAGUAGCUGUGCUCCCCUGCUGGAACCUCCAAACAAGCUCUCAGGGUAGAAGCAUUUAGUCUGACAGUUAGUCUCCAGCCAUGUUGAGGAGAGCAUAGUAGUU
Molecule: unclassified non-coding RNA, 282 nt
Organism: Mesocricetus auratus (golden hamster)
Lineage: Eukaryota; Metazoa; Chordata; Mammalia; Rodentia; Cricetidae
Gene: 7SK
Rfam family: 7SK RNA
About the family: 7SK was discovered as an abundant small nuclear RNA in the mid-70s but a possible function has only recently been suggested. Two independent studies have found that 7SK RNA binds the CDK9/cyclin T complex (known as elongation factor P-TEFb).
Source: Ensembl